GGUUAAGUUAGAAAGGGCGCACGGUGGAUGCCUUGGCACUAGGAGCCGAAGAAGGACGGGACUAACACCGAUAUGCUUUGGGGAGCUGUACGUAAGCGUUGAUCCAGAGAUUUCCGAAUGGGGGAACCCACUAUCUUUAGUCGGAUAGUAUCCUUACGUGAAUACAUAGCGUGAGGAAGGCAGACCCAGGGAACUGAAACAUCUAAGUACCUGGAGGAAGAGAAAGAAAAAUCGAUUUCCUGAGUAGCGGCGAGCGAAACGGAAAGAGCCCAAACCAAGAAGCUUGCUUCUUGGGGUUGUAGGACACUCUAUACGGAGUUACAAAAGAAAGUUAUAAAUGAAGCGGUCUGGAAAGGCCCGCCAAAGACGGUAACAGCCCGGUAGUUGAAAUGGCUUUCCCUC
This 402-nucleotide ribosomal RNA is filed under the name Listeria monocytogenes. Its description in RNAcentral is "partial 23S ribosomal RNA". It matches the Rfam family "Bacterial large subunit ribosomal RNA", at positions 1 to 396 of the family's 2925-position model. The record is from RNAcentral. Lineage: Bacteria; Bacillati; Bacillota; Bacilli; Caryophanales; Listeriaceae.